This is a long non-coding RNA of Pseudopipra pipra, 1983 nucleotides long. RefSeq lists it as uncharacterized. The record is from RefSeq and is a predicted model, not a curated record. The transcript is spliced from 2 exons. NCBI's taxonomy places the organism in Eukaryota, Metazoa, Chordata, Aves, Passeriformes, Pipridae.
AUGUGCCACGUCAAGACUGGAAAUCACAGCACUUCAGUGUGUUUCAGUUUUGCACACUAGGGAAUAAGAAACGCUAAGGGACACUGUGAAAAAGGAGGACUUCAGAAUAAAGCGGGGAAGACAUUCUGGUAAGGCCUACUUUGGAAGAACACCUGGCCUAUGACCUGGCGAACCUAGGUGACUCCCCUCCCCCCUUCCUCCAGUCAUCACUGCAAGAAAGAUGGAGCUCUGAUGGUGCACUAAAACCUAUGCAAGAAAUGAGAGAGGUAUAUUGCCUAGAGGUAUAUUACCUAGAGAAGUGUACAAGAGUAGAGUUAAAGUCGGUCAUUUCUUUUUUUUUAUUUUAAUUUAAAAUAAAGCAUUUUUUCCCCCACAAACUAAAAAGGUAAAUUUAAUUUUUUUUUUUACUUGUAGCAGUCAGUAUAAAUAUUUAAGGAGUAUUUAAUUUAUUUUUCUAGACUUGCUAGAAGUAUGUAUUCUGACUAGCUCCUGUUGUGAACUAUGAUCUGAAGAUCGAUUUAAAAAAAUUAUUUCCUUUUAAAGUAAUAAAAUAAUAGAAGAGAAUGCAUGAAUAAUAUUUUAAAUUAUUAUAAAAUAUAUUAUAUCACCUUUGGGAAAACUGUACUUAGAUUUUCAUAUGCAGUUGAAACUUCUUUGCAAGUAACUUAUGUUAUGUGUGCUAAUGAAAACUGGGAGGGAAACCAUAGGAAAACCGACUACUCCAUGGUUGGCUGCUGCCAUGUAGAAUACAAAACCUUUGACUGUCAGGAAAAAUUACCUCUUAAAGUUCAGGAUGUGAUGGGGGGAAAAAAAAAAAUCAAUAAAUAAAUAAAAGGGAAAAACCAGCUUUCCAUCCCGAUACCUGGCUGGCCAUUGCAUAUGACUGAUCAGCACCAAUUGAUUGUUGCCGCUCUCAUGUGUACUUUGAAUCGCUGAUAAUUCUAACAUUCAAAAUGAUAAGUUACUUUGUCCUGAAUCCCACUGAUAAACAUGGAAUUUGUAAACGAAUGCAGAAGUUUGCUUUGGUGAAUUUCCAGCUGUCCUGGUAGGGGAAAAAAACCCUCAGGCUGAAUGAAAUCCCCACGGACAAAAUAAUACAAAAAGUCUGGGCUGCAAUUUGAUACCGGCCGAACUCCAGAGUCAGCUCCCCUAAAGUUAACACUAGUAACAAACUACUGCAACCGGAAAAAAACCCAUCUAUAUGGUGCUCAUUAUUGCCAGGAAGGCUUGGAAUAGCUAUACUAUAAAAAGAUCAGCAUAAAUAUGCAGCCAUUAGCAUUAUAACCAGCCAGUUUUGCAGAAUGCAUGUUGUGUUUUUAGGCAGCCUUGAUGCUGUACUUUAUUCUUUUUUUAAAUAUGUAUAUUCUGAUCACCUUUCCCAUUGCUCCUUCGAUAAUCAAUAGAAGUGCUCUUGGGGAGAGCUGCUCGCGGAGCGUUACCGUGGCAGUGCCUGUUCUGGCUGCCUUAAAGCCUACAAAGCCAGAACUAGCACGGUCAUUUCCCUUUGCCCCUCAGCAAAGCUUAUGCCUUUUGACUAAAAUACCUCUUUUUUAAUGUGUUUUAAUGUACACUUAGAAGUUAUUCGCCCUCUCUCCCUUUAUUUUGCAGAAGAUUAUUUUUAGGAUUAAAUCAGUGGGGUUUAAUCCCUCAUAGUACGAGUAGAUGGAAUUUUUAUUCUCAUCCUGCUUUAAAGUGGAGUUACAACACACAGUUAAAUGUGGUUAUUAAGAGAAAAUCUGAAGCGACAGGAAGAAAUUAAAGGAACGGAACCAGAUUCAAACUUGCAUUAAUAUUUCUCAGUCUCUGAGUGCUGUUUAAGGCAUAGCAAAUCUGAAAAGUUUUAUGCCUUAGACUUUGCUUAAGCGGUAGAAAAAUGUUUCCAAAUCUUGUUAAGAAACUCAGUUUUGCUUUCAAGGGGAAUGCGAUCGUUAGCAAAUAUUUUUUUCUCUCUAAUGCUUACUUGCAAAGCUAUUGUUUUUUUUU